RNAcentral lists this ribosomal RNA (374 nucleotides) under uncultured bacterium. RNAcentral describes it as "bacterial SSU rRNA". It matches the Rfam family "Bacterial small subunit ribosomal RNA", at positions 524 to 898 of the family's 1533-position model. The record is from RNAcentral.
UACGCGCGGCCCCCCCGUUCUUCUUCUUUCCUUUUCUUCCCUCUUUCUUCUUCUUCUUUUCCCUUGGGGUGUGAAAGCCCUCGGCUCAACCGAGGAAUUGCGCUCCAAACUACCGAGCUUGAGUAGGCUAGAGGUGAGCAGAACUGAUGGUGGAGCGGUGAAAUGCGUUGAUAUCAUCAGGAAUACCGGAGGCGAAGGCGGCUCACUGGGACCUAACUGACGCUGAGGAACGAAAGCUAGGGGAGCAAACGGGAUUAGAUACCCCGGUAGUCCUAGCCGUAAACGGUGAGCACUGGACCGGGGGCCUGCACAGGCCCUCGGUCGUAGCGAAAGUGUUAAGUGCUCCGCCUGGGGAGUAUGGUCGCAAGGCUGAA